This 484-nucleotide ribosomal RNA is filed under the name uncultured bacterium. Its description in RNAcentral is "bacterial SSU rRNA". It matches the Rfam family "Bacterial small subunit ribosomal RNA", at positions 30 to 504 of the family's 1533-position model. The record is from RNAcentral.
CGAACGCUGGCGGCGUGCUUAACACAUGCAAGUCGAACGCGAAAGUUUUCUUCGGGAAACGAGUAGAGUGGCGCACGGGUGAGUAACGCGUAAGUAAUCUACCCUGGCAUCUGGGAUAACUCAGCGAAAGCUGUGCUAAUACCUGAUACGCUGGAGACAGGAAAGGUGGCCUCUUCAUGAAAGCUACUGUGCCGGGAUGAGCUUGCGUACCAUUAGCUAGUUGGUGGGGUAAUGGCCUACCAAGGCAACGAUGGUUAGCGGGUCUGAGAGGAUGAUCCGCCACACUGGAACUGGAACACGGACCAGACUCCUACGGGAGGCAGCAGUGAGGAAUAUUGCGCAAUGGGGGAAACCCUGACGCAGCGACGCCGCGUGGAUGAUGAAGGCUUUCGAGUCGUAAAAUCCUGUCAGAUGGGAAGAAGUGUAUAUAUGUUAAUAUCAUAUAUAUUUGACGGUACCAUCAAAGGAAGCACCGGCUAACUCC